CGGGCGUGAGGGGAGAAGCGGGGCCGGGCAGGGCCGUGAGGGGAGAGCGGGGGCCGGGCAGGGCUGUGAGCGGAUCCGCUCUCCUCUGGGUGCUCCGGGGCGAGACACACACUGUCCGUGCCUCCACAGCUCCCGAGUCCGCCCUUUGUCCUUCUGCGAAUACGCUGAUGGUUGCGGCAGCUAAAUGUGAGUGAGGUCUCCCGAGUUAACGGCGCUCCUGCAUAUAAAAAUUGAAACAUUUUAAAACAUGGCUAUCCUACUCCUAAAAAUGGAAUCGGUGAGAACUUUCAGUUUGGACGUGCCAUCAUUGCUGUUGGGAGAGGAACACAGCUCUCAGCAGACAAAUACAGCAGGCAGCAAAACGUCACCAGCACUGGGCUUCAGAAAUCCUCAGGACAGCCACUUUUUACCAGUUUGUGAGUGUUUGAAUGCACCAUCAGGAAGGCAGCCACAGACCCAGCUGUGUGGGAUCUGCCUGUGUUACCCUGUAAAGGCAUUUUGGGAGCACAGCUCUGAGGAGACAGACUGCUAAAUAAACAGCUAAAUGGCUACAAACUGCAGGGCCUAUAUUAAUCCCAGUUUUCAGUGAGAAUGAGUCACUUCCUACUGAUUAAUGUUACACAGUAAUCAUGGAAUCACAGGAUGCUUUGGGUUGGAAGAGACCUUAAAAAUAAUCUCAUUCCACCCAUGGGCAGGGACACCUUCCACUAUCCCAGGUUGCCCCAAGCCCCAUCCAACCUGUCCUUAAA
Vidua macroura (Pin-tailed whydah) is the source of this 749-nucleotide long non-coding RNA. RefSeq lists it as uncharacterized. The transcript has 3 exons. Lineage: Eukaryota; Metazoa; Chordata; Aves; Passeriformes; Viduidae. The record is from RefSeq and is a predicted model, not a curated record.